ACACAUGCGAGUUUUUGCUGGCUUGAGAACAAGCAAGGAAAAAGACAAAUCCCACCUACCCUAGCCUAAAAUACACAGUGAGUCUCAGAACCCCGCGGAAGCUGUGGCUCAUUUCUAAAGGUGCUGGCAAUAUCGAGGAAGACUUGUAUCCACAAAAUUCCAAAUGGAAAAGAGAGAAAAGAGAACAACAAACAGAUGUGUGAAAAAAAGACACGAAGUACAAAACGGAUGUAUUAAUGGCAAAUAGAGUAAACUUGAAGCCUGAAAUUGCAGCACUCAUUUGGUGACCAGGAGUGGGCAAACAGAAGGACAAAGGCCUACAAGAUUAAAUAAUCAAGUCAUUAUUGUGAAUUUGGAUCUAAAUGACCUGGCAGAAACCAUGGAGAUGAUCUUGGAUUUAAAGAGGAAAAACUCAAAGCAAUGUAUUCUGAUCAAGAAAUGGCAGGAAAUGGCAGCUACCUGAUAUGGAACAAUCAACAACUGAAGGUUUAUUUUGAAUGAGAGGUGUUGUCCAACUGCGAGACGGAGUGAUUGAAGCUGAGAAUAAAU
RNAcentral lists this long non-coding RNA (549 nucleotides) under Homo sapiens (human). RNAcentral describes it as "non-protein coding lnc-TMEM178A-6:2". Lineage: Eukaryota; Metazoa; Chordata; Mammalia; Primates; Hominidae. The record is from RNAcentral.